UAUUUGCAACCUGUAUUCAUAUUUGUAACAUUUAAAAUUCUGUGUUUUGAAAUAUAAUUUUCAAGAUCAGAUUUUAUGUCUUCGUUUGGUUCUUUUGGGUUCAAAAUUUUGAUCAAGUAAGUCAAAGUUAAAAAUGUAUUAUCAGGACAUAUAGGUGAGAUUGCGCUGAAAGAACUGAUACCAACAUGGCAUGGUAAAGAUUUUUAACAGAUUUUUUAAAGGACAUAAUAGCGAAAGAUUUCAGAGGGUUAAAUAGUGGUGAAAAGUAAAAGUACGUUUACUCAACUUCAGUUUUAAGGUACUGAUGCUUCGGAAAAAUAAAUGCAUGUAUGUAUGAUUGGGUUACUAACGAAUUAAAGAUAGAGUAUACACAGUAAAUAUACAUUUUAGCAUUAGAAAAGAGAAUAUAUCAAUAGAAAAUAAACAACAAAUGAAGUAAAAAAAUUUAAAAGAGCUCCAUACAGAAAUUAAAAAAAAAACUUUAGCAUAGUGUAUAAAUAAAAUAUAUGCUGUGUUUCCUAUACUUGUUCUCUUGUGGAAUAUAGAGGAAAUUGCAUUUUUUGUUAACUCACUAACUAUAUUUCACACUAAUUUACAGAUUAAGAUGCCAUAUACCUAACCUGUGAGUUUCUGCAUUACUACUAAAUUAGGGGUAUUUCCAAUCUGAAGGCCAGGACCCUCCUGGUUGUAAAACCUGAUUAAAGGGGCUGUAAAAACACGUGAUACUUUACUCUGAGGCAUCUGACCAUAUUUAAAUUAAACAAACUGAACGAUCUAACUGUUUACAACGUGGGUCCCCACUAUAGCUAUAACCUAUGACUCUUAAGUAGCCUAAUGAUUUAUUUUAUUUUCACAGUAAUGAUGUGCAGGUUGGGACAGAGUCAAGAUCAGGCCUGCAGGAGGGGCUGUAGGCCAAGUUAGGAAGCAGUCCAUGGACUUAUCACUCCAGGCCAUUGACUUCCGUUUUGCAAGUUCCAUCCAGGAUGGCUGGCCGCUGUCAGACAUGGACUGCAGCGCUGACGGCAUUAGGCGUGGGUUUGAUGGAGGCAGAAGAUUCAUCUGAUGUCUGCACCUCUGUUUGAGCUUUCUUCAAUUCCACCUGAAAAAACUGUGAGUCAGAUCAUCUGCUCUGGAUAAACUGUCAGUCUGAAAUUGUCAGUAGUUAAAGGGUAAAUCUAUUAAUAUUCUAUAUUUCAUUAAUUAUCAAGAAAUCCCAUGAAAAGCAAUCAAAAACAGCAAGAAUUAUCUGUGUACAGCUUAUUCCUUCACACCAUUGUUUUCCAAAAUCGAUUAAAAACACAUGAGCUUAGUAUGAAACAAGGGCACUGUACUUUACUUUGAGUUAACACCACACAAUGUCCUGCUGCUGUAAAUACUCAAUAGUGUACCAAAGCUGUGGCUAUAAAUAGUCUCUACAAAUGCGCUGUUUACUUCUGAUUGAGUGAUGUUUGCUAAACAUUUUAGGAGAUUACUGAGUCUUUAAAAACAUUAAAUUAUGUUGAAGGCCUGAGGCAGGGUAUAGAGGUCAUAUGCAGGUUUUUUAAACAGCUAAAGACUACUUUCUACUUUCUACUAUUGCCAGUUAUAUUUUUCUCUGUUUAACAUCACAUUUGAUGUCAUGCAUGUGCUGAAAAAAAAGAACUGGCCAAUCGGUCCAACGAGGGUUCAGGGUCGUUCAUACCAAUAGACCGAAAGCCCAUUCAUCCCAUGAUCUGUUAUACUGAAAACAAUAGCCCACUGCUCCAAAGACCCAUUGCUCUGAAAACACACCAAACUCUGAUUUUUCUUUUCAGCUGAUAUUUAACUGAAUUUGUCUUUUGUCUUGGGAAUAAAUGGCGAUUGUAACAUUUCCUUCUAAAGACAAAAGCCAGACGUUUGUGUGUGUCGGUGGGUUUUUUGUCCCGCAGGAAAGGUGUUUUGUUGAUCUUAACUUUUUCAUGGGAUUUGCUGACAAUGAGAAAAGUAUAGAAUAUCUUCAGCCUUAUCUUUGAAUUGAUUUACAGCUGAAUGCAGUAUGAAAGGCAGCUACAAAGAAGUACCACAAACCCCCUUGGUUCCAGGUGGAGCUGUCCACUCUGCCCGUUUCUCCAAAAAAGCAGCCUUCCCGCUCACUGAUCCGGCCCAAACUGCCCGUCUUCCUGUCUGUGAUGCACCCUCUUUUUCCUGCACGGUGGCUUCUCUUUCCCCUCUUCCCAAGGCAGAC
Long non-coding RNA from Centropristis striata (black sea bass), 2203 nucleotides. RefSeq lists it as uncharacterized. Lineage: Eukaryota; Metazoa; Chordata; Actinopteri; Perciformes; Serranidae. The transcript has 3 exons. The record is from RefSeq and is a predicted model, not a curated record.